GUACUGAUCUUUCACCGAGGCACAGAAGAAGAUGGGUGAGUUCAGCUUCAGAUUCCGCCAGCUCUUGAUGUAGACGAGACCUAGAAAUAUUGGCAUGGUCAACUUUUCUACGGACAUAUCUAACAAUGAGGAGCUUCUCAUGCCUAUAGGUGUCUGAAGGGAACCCAUCUUCUGAUGGAUUGAAUUCUCCAACGCUGGUGGGAUUGAGGUAUGAGCUAAUUGUGGUAUUGGUGGUGGUGCUGGUUUUGCUUUGAAGACAAGAGUGAAAGUGACACAUAUUCUGCUAUUGAGACUUCCUGUUUAAGUGAUUGCUCUUCCGCAUCUCCCUCCUCUUCUCUGAUUCUUCAGUUUAUGUCUCUUUCUCUUUUUUAUCUUUCUCAACUUAUUUUUAUUUAUCUAAUUUUGGUAAAGUUUAGAGGUCGCUUUAGUGAUGCGUUUGUUUCUGCUAUAUGAAAAGCCAGAGAGAUAGAGAGAUGGUUUUGUUUAUAUGACAGUAACUUGAUUCCUAAGCAAGCUCUGGUUGUUUCUAACCUUUUUGCUUAUUAAAUCCAAAUCUCUGUUGAUUUCUU
This is a long non-coding RNA of Raphanus sativus (radish), 569 nucleotides long. RefSeq lists it as uncharacterized. The record is from RefSeq and is a predicted model, not a curated record. NCBI's taxonomy places the organism in Eukaryota, Viridiplantae, Streptophyta, Magnoliopsida, Brassicales, Brassicaceae. The transcript is spliced from 2 exons.